CUACGGUUGUGCCGCCGUGGUGCUCGGGAAGACCGGUGACAGACCUUCAGGGGUCUCAGACCGGAGCGGCCCUCGCCACUGUGAUCGGGAAGUACCGGCACCAUCCCCGUCCCCGCCUGGGCCGGGCGGCCACUGGACGCAGCUGCGUCCGGGAAGGCCGGGCGCCGGUGUGUUCGACCCGUCAGCCAGGAGACCGGCCACGGCAUCUCACGAAGU
RNAcentral lists this non-coding RNA (216 nucleotides) under Saccharothrix sp. ST-888. Lineage: Bacteria; Bacillati; Actinomycetota; Actinomycetes; Pseudonocardiales; Pseudonocardiaceae. The record is from RNAcentral. RNAcentral also lists the same sequence under 1 other name.